GCGGGCGUGGCGGAAUUGGCAGACGCGCUAGACUUAGGAUCUAGUGCCAUAGGCGUGAAGGUUCAAGUCCUUUCGCCCGCACCA
This 84-nucleotide transfer RNA is filed under the name Clostridiales bacterium. RNAcentral's name for it is "tRNA-Leu". It matches the Rfam family "tRNA". Rfam says of the family: Transfer RNA (tRNA) molecules are approximately 80 nucleotides in length. Their secondary structure includes four short double-helical elements and three loops (D, anti-codon, and T loops). Further hydrogen bonds mediate the characteristic L-shaped molecular structure. tRNAs have two regions of fundamental functional importance: the anti-codon, which is responsible for specific mRNA codon recognition, and the 3' end, to which the tRNAs corresponding amino acid is attached (by aminoacyl-tRNA synthetases). tRNAs cope with the degeneracy of the genetic code in two manners: having more than one tRNA (with a specific anti-codon) for a particular amino acid; and 'wobble' base-pairing, i.e. permitting non-standard base-pairing at the 3rd anti-codon position. RNAcentral also lists the same sequence under 2 other names. The record is from RNAcentral. Lineage: Bacteria; Bacillati; Bacillota; Clostridia; Eubacteriales.